Molecule: ribosomal RNA, 253 nt
Filed under: uncultured bacterium
Lineage: Bacteria
Description: partial 16S ribosomal RNA
Rfam family: Bacterial small subunit ribosomal RNA
Source: RNAcentral
UACGCAGGGGGCUAGCGUUGUCCGGAAUUACUGGGCGUAAAGCGCACGUAGGCGGUCCGAUCAGUCAGGGGUGAAAUCCCAGAGCUCAACUCUGGAACUGCCUUUGAUACUGUCGAUCUAGAGUAUGGAAGAGGUGAGUGGAAUUCCGAGUGUAGAGGUGAAAUUCGUAGAUAUUCGGAGGAACACCAGUGGCGAAGGCGGCUCACUGGUCCAUUACUGACGCUGAGGUGCGAAAGCGUGGGGAGCAAACAGA